GAGGAAUAUUGGUCAAUGGACGAGAGUCUGAACCAGCCAAGUAGCGUGAAGGAUGACUGCCCUAUGGGUUGUAAACUUCUUUUAUACGGGAAUAAAGUGAGGCACGUGUGCCUUUUUGUAUGUACCGUAUGAAUAAGGAUCGGCUAACUCCGUGCCAGCAGCCGCGGUAAUACGGAGGAUCCGAGCGUUAUCCGGAUUUAUUGGGUUUAAAGGGAGCGUAGGCGGACGCUUAAGUCAGUUGUGAAAGUUUGCGGCUCAACCGUAAAAUUGCAGUUGAUACUGGGUGUCUUGAGUACAGUAGAGGCAGGCGGAAUUCGUGGUGUAGCGGUGAAAUGCUUAGAUAUCACGAAGAACUCCGAUUGCGAAGGCAGCCUGCUGGACUGUAACUGACGCUGAUGCUCGAAAGUGUGGGUAUCAAACAGGAUUAGAUACCCUGGUAGUCCACACAGUAAACGAUGAAUACUCGCUGUUUGCGAUAUACAGUAAGCGGCCAAGCGAAAGCGUUAAGUAUUCCACCUGGGGAGUACGCCGGCAACGGUGAAACUCAAAGGAAUUGACGGGGGCCCGCACAAGCGGAGGAACAUGUGGUUUAAUUCGAUGAUACGCGAGGAACCUUACCCGGGCUUGAAUUGCAACUGAAUGAUGUGGAGACAUGUCAGCCGCAAGGCAGUUGUGAAGGUGCUGCAUGGUUGUCGUCAGCUCGUGCCGUGAGGUGUCGGCUUAAGUGCCAUAACGAGCGCAACCCUUAUCGAUAGUUACCAUCAGGUUAUGCUGGGGACUCUGUCGAGACUGCCGUCGUAAGAUGUGAGGAAGGUGGGGAUGACGUCAAAUCAGCACGGCCCUUACGUCCGGGGCUACACACGUGUUACAAUGGGGGGUACAGAAGGCAGCUACACGGCGACGUGAUGCUAAUCCCGAAAGCCUCUCUCAGUUCGGAUUGGAGUCUGCAACCCGACUCCAUGAAGCUGGAUUCGCUAGUAAUCGCGCAUCAGCCACGGCGCGGUGAAUACGUUCCCG
This 1017-nucleotide ribosomal RNA is filed under the name uncultured organism. Its description in RNAcentral is "bacterial SSU rRNA". It matches the Rfam family "Bacterial small subunit ribosomal RNA", at positions 356 to 1376 of the family's 1533-position model. The record is from RNAcentral.